This 258-nucleotide ribosomal RNA is filed under the name uncultured Pseudomonadales bacterium. RNAcentral's name for it is "partial 16S ribosomal RNA". It matches the Rfam family "Bacterial small subunit ribosomal RNA", at positions 502 to 760 of the family's 1533-position model. The record is from RNAcentral. Lineage: Bacteria; Pseudomonadati; Pseudomonadota; Gammaproteobacteria; Pseudomonadales.
CUUGUGCCAGCAGCCGCGGUAAUACAGAGGGUGCAAGCGUUAAUCGGAAUUACUGGGCGUAAAGCGCGCGUAGGUGGUUCGUUAAGUUGGAUGUGAAAUCCCCGGGCUCAACCUGGGAACUGCAUUCAAAACUGACGAGCUAGAGUAUGGUAGAGGGUGGUGGAUUUCCUGUGUAGCGGUGAAAUGCGUAGAUAUAGGAAGGAACACCAGUGGCGAAGGCGACCACCUGGACUGAUACUGACACUGAGGUGCGAAAGC